Molecule: unclassified non-coding RNA, 376 nt
Filed under: uncultured Gammaproteobacteria bacterium
Lineage: Bacteria; Pseudomonadati; Pseudomonadota; Gammaproteobacteria
Description: contains 16S-23S intergenic spacer region
Source: RNAcentral
UCCGGUUUGUCACCGGCAAUCCCAUUAGAAUACCCAACUUAAUGUAACAACUAAUAGCAAGGGUUGCGCUCGUUGCGGGACUUAACCCAACAUCUCACGACACGAGCUGACGACAGCCAUGCAGCACCUGUGUCUAGGUUCCCUUUCGAGCACACUCACAUCUCUGCGAGCUUCCUAGCAUAUCAAGGGUAAAUAAGGUUUUUCGCGUUGCAUCGAAUUAAUCCACAUAAUCCACCGCUUGUGCGGAUCCCCGUCAAUUCCUUUGAGUUUUAACCUUGCGGCCGUACUCCCCAGGCGAUCAACUUCACGCGUUAGCUUCGUUACCAAGGAAUUGCUUCCCCGACAACCAGUUGACAUAGUUUAGGGCGUGGACUAC